Molecule: ribosomal RNA, 465 nt
Filed under: uncultured bacterium
Lineage: Bacteria
Description: partial 16S ribosomal RNA
Rfam family: Bacterial small subunit ribosomal RNA
Source: RNAcentral
GACGAACGCUGGCGGCGUGCUUAACACAUGCAAGUCGAACGGAAAGGCCCUGCUUGCCGGGUACUCGAGUGGCGAACGGGUGAGUAACACGUGGGUGAUCUGCCCUGCACUUCGGGAUAAGCCUGGGAAACUGGGUCUAAUACCGGAUAGGAGCCAUUUUUAGUGUGAUGGUUGGAAAGUUUUUUCGGUGUAGGAUGAGCUCGCGGCCUAUCAGCUUGUUGGUGGGGUAAUGGCCUACCAAGGCGGCGACGGGUAGCCGGCCUGAGAGGGUGGACGGCCACAUUGGGACUGAGAUACGGCCCAGACGCCGACGGGAGGCAGCAGGGGGGAAUAUUGCACAAUGGGCGCAAGCCUGAUGCAGCGACGCCGCGUGGGGGAGGACGGCCUUCGGGUUGUAAACUCCUUUCGCUAGGGACGAAGCUUUUUGUGACGGUACCUAGAGAAGAAGCACCGGCUAACUACGUG